AGAGUCGAUCGGACAGUCGCUGUCUCUUUUUGUUCCGGCAAAAGGGGAGGGAGGAAAGUCCGGGCUCCAUAGGGCGAAGUGCCAGGUAACGCCUGGGAGGCGCGAGCCUACGGAAAGUGCCACAGAAAAUAACCGCCUAAGCGCUUCGGCGCCGGUAAGGGUGAAAAGGUGCGGUAAGAGCGCACCGCACGGCUGGCAACAGUCCGUGGCUAGGUAAACCCCACUUGGAGCAAGACCAAAUAGGGAUCCAUUGGCGUGGCCCGCGCUGGAUCCGGGUAGGUUGCUAGAGGCAGUCAGUGAUGGCUGUCGUAGAGGAAUGGCUGUCCUCGACAGAACCCGGCUUACAGAUCGACUCUCCGA
Pseudomonas sp. is the source of this 360-nucleotide non-coding RNA. The record is from Rfam. Lineage: Bacteria; Pseudomonadati; Pseudomonadota; Gammaproteobacteria; Pseudomonadales; Pseudomonadaceae.